Molecule: long non-coding RNA, 1563 nt
Filed under: Anas platyrhynchos platyrhynchos (common mallard)
Lineage: Eukaryota; Metazoa; Chordata; Aves; Anseriformes; Anatidae
Description: lncRNA (ENSAPLG00000026982.1)
Source: RNAcentral
GGUCUCUGGCCCCAAAAAGGGGGUCUCCGGCCUCAAAGUGAGUGUUUUUUACCCAAAAUUGGCAGUCCCGGCCUCAAAACGGGGAGGCCCCCGGCCCCAAAAUGGGCGUCUUGGCCCCAGAAUGGGGGGUUUUGACCCCAAAUGGGGACGUUUUAGCCCCAAAAAGGGGGGUUUGGACCCCGAAAAAAGGGCUCUAACCCCAAAUAGCGGGGUCUUGUUCCCAAAUACGGGGCUCUCAGUCCCAAAAACAGGCGUUUUGUCCCCAAAAUGGGGCGCCCCCCCCCUCCUUGCCGGGACCACGGCCUGGUGUGGCCCCGCGGCCUCCGUCACCUCCAGGGCCUCCUGGGGGGGGGCUGGGGGGGGGGGGAGGCGGGAGCGGAACCCCCCCCCCAAUUUGUUGGCCUUGGGGAAGAGGCGGAAGAGGCCCCGCUCCGAGGCCAGGCCCAGCCCCUGCAGCACCCCAAAAACGGGCCGGGGGCCACCAGGAGGUAGAGGGGGAGGAAGAGCCAGGGGGAGGCCAGGAGGCGCGAGGCCAGGAGCAGGGCGGGGACGUGGAGGGGGGGCAGGAUUUGGGGGAAAAAACGGGGGAUUUGGGGCACCGGCAGGGGGCGGCGGGGGGCCAGGGGGGGCCUCAGACCCAGCAGGGGCCCCAAAAGGAGGAGGAGGAGGAGGAGGAGCAGGGGGAGGGGCAGGAAGGCCGGGGGGGCGAGGGCCAGCGCCAGCCCCGCCCCCAGCAGGGCCCCGCCCCCUCCCCAGCCGGCCCAGCACGGGAGGCCACGCCCACCUGCGGCGGGAGGCUCCGCCCCCAGCUCAGGCUCCGCCCCCAGCUCAGGCUCCGCCCCCUCCUCCUGUGGCUCCGCCUCCUCGCGGGGCUCCUCCUCCUCCUCCUCGGGGGGCGGGGCCUGGAAAGGGCGGGGCCAGUGGGGGUGAGAAAUGGGGGCGGAGCCUCAGCCCCAUAGACGUGGGGCAGGGACCCCCCAGUGCCCCAUAGAUGUGGGGCAGAGCCCCCCAAGUGCCCCCUGACUUACGUCCUGGGCCUCGCUGCCGGAGCCGUCGGGGGGCGGGCAGGAGCCUUCCUCGCCCCCUUCCUCACCCCCCUCCUCUUCCUCCUCCUCCUCCUCUUCCUCGUCCUCUGGCCCCGAGGCGUUGGUGGCACUGGUGGCACUGGUGGCACUGAUGGUGCUGCUGCUGCGGCUGGCCAGGCUGCCAUCCCCCGGAGACUCCUGGGGACACUGGGGUGAGGGGGGGGGGUACUGGGAGGGGACUGGGAGCAUUGGGAGGUGCUGGGAGGGGACUGGGAGCACUGGGAGGGGACUGGGGGGCACUGGGGGGGUACUGGGAGGGAACUGGGAGGCACUGGAGAGCACUGGGAGGCAUCGUAGGGAGUCUGUGGGGUGUUAUAGGGGGGCUGUGGGGCACUGUGGGGGGUUAUGGGGUCUUUAUGGGGUCUCUGGGGGUCCCUAUGGGGUCUGUGGGGUCCCUGGGGUCUCACCUGGGCGCUGUUCCCGUGCCCCCCCCAUGCCGGGCGGCGCCGGGGGGGCUCCAGGAGCUGCAGCAGCCGGG